UACGUAGGUGGCGAGCGUUGUCCGGAUUUACUGGGCGUAAAGGGAGCGUAGGCGGACUUUUAAGUGAGAUGUGAAAUACCCGGGCUCAACUUGGGUGCUGCAUUUCAAACUGGAAGUCUAGAGUGCAGGAGAGGAGAAUGGAAUUCCUAGUGUAGCGGUGAAAUGCGUAGAGAUUAGGAAGAACACCAGUGGCGAAGGCGAUUCUCUGGACUGUAACUGACGCUGAGGCUCGAAAGCGUGGGGAGCAAACAGGAUUAGAUACCUCCGUA
RNAcentral lists this ribosomal RNA (269 nucleotides) under uncultured prokaryote. RNAcentral describes it as "partial 16S ribosomal RNA". It matches the Rfam family "Bacterial small subunit ribosomal RNA", at positions 524 to 792 of the family's 1533-position model. The record is from RNAcentral.